UACGUAGGGUGCGAGCGUUAAUCGGAAUUACUGGGCGUAAAGCGUGCGUAGGUGGUUCGUUAAGUCUGAUGUGAAAGCCCUGGGCUCAACCUGGGAAUUGCAUUGGAUACUGGCAGGCUAGAGUGCGGUAGAGGAUGGCGGAAUUCCCGGUGUAGCAGUGAAAUGCGUAGAGAUCGGGAGGAACAUCUGUGGCGAAGGCGGCCAUCUGGACCAGCACUGACACUGAGGCACGAAAGCGUGGGGAGCAAACAGG
Molecule: ribosomal RNA, 253 nt
Filed under: uncultured bacterium
Lineage: Bacteria
Description: partial 16S ribosomal RNA
Rfam family: Bacterial small subunit ribosomal RNA
Source: RNAcentral